This is a long non-coding RNA of Oncorhynchus masou masou (cherry salmon), 365 nucleotides long. RefSeq lists it as uncharacterized. Lineage: Eukaryota; Metazoa; Chordata; Actinopteri; Salmoniformes; Salmonidae. The record is from RefSeq and is a predicted model, not a curated record. The transcript has 3 exons.
CUGGGAAUCAUCUGCUCAUCGCAGCAAGUCUACUCUCUCAAUUAUAAACCAAACCGCAACAGGUUCAGAACGACAUCAGUGUUCUAGUUUGGGAAUUAAGGAAUAACGUCGUCAAAGGAGGGAUUUGUCCUAAACUAGGAAGAUGAUGAAACGAGCAGCUCCUGAAGCUGCCGCUACCCUCCUUUGCAUUGAACGAUGUCUGUGAGUUAGCCAGCUGAAUAGAGGUUCUCCCUGUAGCCGUUGGUGCUCCCGCUAAGAACGCAGGAUGAUGAUGUAGGACGGACGGAAGAAAUCCUGUGAUAUCCUUCAUCGAAGUCCACCCCCCCUCCGGGAAGCGUAGAGGAUGAAGGAGCAGGAACCUCUGG